UCUCUAUUAUCAUCAUACGCUCUAAUCAUCCUUACGCAGUCUGCUUCUGAAACUUGUGCGAUGCACAGUGUACUAAGGACUCUUCUCAACUCCUUUGCAUCGAUGAAACCGUCGUUAUUUUUAUCGAACAUAGAGAAAGCUUCUCUGACUUCCUGAAGGCAUGGCUCCUGCUCUUCAAACAGAGCAGUAAUGUCAUUUGAGUUCAUCCUAUCUUGUAGCUUGUCGCCUUCAGGGUCAUAGCAAGUUCCCAGCUGCCCCAUCACCAUUGCCACCUCUCCUAUACUUAGUUCUUCUAAAUUCUUGCGAUGAAAGCAGUUGGUCUGUGGUUUCUCCGUCAGCACAUCCACUGCUUGUGGCUCCAGCUUCUGAUUUAAAUUUCUGUCAAUGCAAAGCUUCUUGGUAGCAACUUGUAUUCUAGAGGACUUGCUCUCGACCCAAACCCUCCAGAAGUACAAAAACACCUUGGGGACUUGGCAAAAAGUUGAGUACAAGUCUUUAAGAAUAAUGAUAAAGAUGCAGUUGAGAAUUGUGAGCAGCAAGAAAACAGGAUUGGGUGAUGAUACAUUAUCUUUAGUGUACUCCAUAAUGAAUGGUACUCAAUCGGAGAAGAAAGUAACGCUGAAAGACUUUGGGGAUAGAUGAGUCUGU
RNAcentral lists this unclassified non-coding RNA (648 nucleotides) under Hevea brasiliensis (rubber tree). Lineage: Eukaryota; Viridiplantae; Streptophyta; Magnoliopsida; Malpighiales; Euphorbiaceae. The record is from RNAcentral.